This is a long non-coding RNA of Cucumis sativus (cucumber), 196 nucleotides long. RefSeq lists it as uncharacterized. NCBI's taxonomy places the organism in Eukaryota, Viridiplantae, Streptophyta, Magnoliopsida, Cucurbitales, Cucurbitaceae. The transcript is spliced from 3 exons. The record is from RefSeq and is a predicted model, not a curated record.
AUGGAGAGUGAAUGGUCAAAUUUGAGGAAUCGUAUCUGCUGGCUUUGUAGUCCAAACAGAGUUGCAGUGGGUAAAUCUUAAUGGCUGGCAGAAAAUUGGUUCGGGAUAUAUUACUCUCAACACAAAGUAUUUUUUAUCAGUUUACUUCCCAUCGGGGAGAAGGUAAAUUACAUAAGCCAAAGUAGUUAUGGAAAAC